UUCGUCCAUUUGAGACGUAAUUUUUCAACCGAAGAAAGUCUUCGUUUAUUGGUAAACUGUUGAAGUAUAAGACUGUGAAAAUACGUAAUUAGAAGGACUACACACUUCAAUGUCGC
Etheostoma spectabile (orangethroat darter) is the source of this 116-nucleotide long non-coding RNA. RefSeq lists it as uncharacterized. The record is from RefSeq and is a predicted model, not a curated record. The transcript is spliced from 3 exons. NCBI's taxonomy places the organism in Eukaryota, Metazoa, Chordata, Actinopteri, Perciformes, Percidae.